Molecule: ribosomal RNA, 499 nt
Filed under: uncultured bacterium
Lineage: Bacteria
Description: bacterial SSU rRNA
Rfam family: Bacterial small subunit ribosomal RNA
Source: RNAcentral
AUUGAACGCUGGCGGCAUGCUUUACACAUGCAAGUCGAACGGCAGCGCGGGGCAACCUGGCGGCGAGUGGCGAACGGGUGAGUAAUACAUCGGAACGUACCCAGAAGUGGGGGAUAACGUAGCGAAAGUUACGCUAAUACCGCAUACGACCUAAGGGUGAAAGUGGGGGACCGCAAGGCCUCAUGCUUUUGGAGCGGCCGAUGUCUGAUUAGCUAGUUGGUGAGGUAAAGGCUCACCAAGGCGACGAUCAGUAGCUGGUCUGAGAGGACGACCAGCCACACUGGGACUGAGACACGGCCCAGACUCCUACGGGAGGCAGCAGUGGGGAAUUUUGGGACAAUGGGGGCAACCCUGAUCCAGCAAUGCCGCGUGAGUGAAGAAGGCCUUCGGGUUGCAAAGCUCUUUGUCAGGGAAGAAACGGUUCUGGUUAAUACCUGGGGCUAAUGACGGUACCUGAAGAAUAAGCACCGGCUAACUACGUGCCAGCAGCCGCGGUAAU